GCGGCAGCUAUAAUGCAGUCGAGCGAACUGAUUAGAAGCUUGCUUCUAUGACGUUAGCGGCGGACGGGUGAGUAACACGUGGGCAACCUGCCUGUAAGACUGGGAUAACUUCGGGAAACCGAAGCUAAUACCGGAUAGGAUCUUCUCCUUCAUGGGAGAUGAUUGAAAGAUGGUUUCGGCUAUCACUUACAGAUGGGCCCGCGGUGCAUUAGCUAGUUGGUGAGGUAACGGCUCACCAAGGCAACGAUGCAUAGCCGACCUGAGAGGGUGAUCGGCCACACUGGGACUGAGACACGGCCCAGACUCCUACGGGAGGCAGCAGUAGGGAAUCUUCCGCAAUGGACGAAAGUCUGACGGAGCAACGCCGCGUGAGUGAUGAAGGCUUUCGGGUCGUAAAACUCUGUUGUUAGGGAAGAACAAGUACAAGAGUAACUGCUUGUACCUUGACGGUACCUAACCAGAAAGCCACGGCUAACUACGUGCCAGCAGCCGCGGUAAUACGUAGGUGGCAAGCGUUAUCCGGAAUUAUUGGGCGUAAAGCGCGCGCAGGCGGUUUCUUAAGUCUGAUGUGAAAGCCCACGGCUCAACCGUGGAGGGUCAUUGGAAACUGGGGAACUUGAGUGCAGAAGAGAAAAGCGGAAUUCCACGUGUAGCGGUGAAAUGCGUAGAGAUGUGGAGGAACACCAGUGGCGAAGGCGGCUUUUUGGUCUGUAACUGACGCUGAGGCGCGAAAGCGUGGGGAGCAAACAGGAUUAG
This 756-nucleotide ribosomal RNA is filed under the name Priestia megaterium. RNAcentral's name for it is "bacterial SSU rRNA". It matches the Rfam family "Bacterial small subunit ribosomal RNA", at positions 39 to 781 of the family's 1533-position model. Lineage: Bacteria; Bacillati; Bacillota; Bacilli; Caryophanales; Bacillaceae. The record is from RNAcentral.